RNAcentral lists this ribosomal RNA (367 nucleotides) under uncultured organism. RNAcentral describes it as "bacterial SSU rRNA". It matches the Rfam family "Bacterial small subunit ribosomal RNA", at positions 526 to 896 of the family's 1533-position model. The record is from RNAcentral.
CGUAGGUGGCAAGCGUUGUCCGGAUUUAUUGGGUUUAAAGGGUGCGUAGGCGGCCCCGUAAGUCAGUGGUGAAAUAUCUCAGCUUAACUGAGAGGGUGCCAUUGAUACUGCGGGGCUUGAGUACAGAUGAGGUAGGCGGAAUUGACGGUGUAGCGGUGAAAUGCAUAGAUAUCGUCAAGAACUCCGAUAGCGAAGGCAGCUUACUAAGCUGUAACUGACGCUGAGGCACGAAAGUGUGGGGAUCAAACAGGAUUAGAUACCCUGGUAGUCCACACUGUAAACGUUGAUGACUCGAUGUUGGCGAUACACAGCCAGCGUCCAAGAGCAAUCGUUAAGUCAUCCACCUGGGGAUACGCCGGCAACGGUG